GUUGAGUGGCGUAUAAUAUAUUGGAAAAAUUUCAAAAAACCCUCCUGUAGUUUCGUAGUUUCUCACUUUGCCCCCAUGUGGUUUAAAAUGUAUCAAUUUCCUUCCCGUGGUUUCGUUUUUAUCUUUUCGGUAGCUUUUUCGUUAAUACUUCAUUAAAUUAUAUACAAAAAACUUCAGAUACCCAUCUAGAUUUAUCAAAUAUUCACUUUAGUACUCUUUAAUUUUAACUUUAUCACUAAUUUAAAAAAAAAAUAAUGAAAUCAAUAAGAAAAAGAGAAAAAAAAAAUCACAUGAAAGCAAAUUGAUACAUUUUAAACUACAGGAAGGCAUAAUGAAAAAGUACGAAACCACAGUGGAAUUUUUUGAAGUUUUUCCUAAUAUUUUUAAGCCCUUCAAUGCGAAUAAUCU
This 408-nucleotide long non-coding RNA is filed under the name Ananas comosus (pineapple). RNAcentral describes it as "long non-coding RNA (ACOM_LNC015433)". The record is from RNAcentral. Lineage: Eukaryota; Viridiplantae; Streptophyta; Magnoliopsida; Poales; Bromeliaceae.